CGGGUGCAAAUAGUGUAUCAGGAACAUGUGAUUUUUUCGGAACAGCCAUUGGUGUAUUUUAAAAGUGUGAGUGUCUUUUUUUGUUUUACCUAUUAUUGUAUUUAAUGCUACUUGUUUUUCCAUGAUCUGUGUUGUAGGGAACGAUUGACAGAACUUAAAUAUUUUUGGUUGCUUUUUUAAGUUUGUGUUUCAUGGUUAGAACACAUAUUGGUGAUUAAAUCCUGCUAACAUUAAAUGACGUAUUAAUAUAUAUAUACAGGGAAUAUGGCGGGUGUAACUAAUAGGUUAGGAACUGCUGAUAUUUCCAGUCAUGUUAUUAUUGUUAUGUAAACAGCUUGUUUUGAUAAAAUGUGACGUGAAACAGAAUACUUAACUGCCUGUGUUUUCUUUUUUUGUUUGUUAAUUUCCUUUCUAUUCUUUUAGAUUCCCUCCUACUCGAUUUUAAUGGUUUCAUCGUUGUUAUAUCGACGCUUAUCGCAUUUUUUUUUUGUCAUAUCGAGCUUAAAAUUCAUUUUCACUCUCUGUAUUUAACAUUAAUAUGUUUCGAUAUAAAAUGAAUAUCACUAUUUACAAUUUAAUAGAUAUUUUAAAACAAAGUUGUACGCUUCUGUCCUUUUAGGAGUUUCAAAACGUUCGGUCUAAUAUGUAUCAUUUACUGUUGCUUUGACUUUUACUCAAUAUCUCUCUCAAAUAAAGAUGCAUGAUGCAAAUAAAAUGAAACAAAAAAAGAUAUUAUCAUAGCAAUGCCCCAUAUAUUACCUUUGUAGUUUCUGCCUUUUGACAAGACAUGUUUACCACUCCGAACGGACGUUGAAGACGGUGAUGCCUUCAUUUU
This 835-nucleotide long non-coding RNA is filed under the name Mytilus galloprovincialis (Mediterranean mussel). Lineage: Eukaryota; Metazoa; Mollusca; Bivalvia; Mytilida; Mytilidae. The record is from RNAcentral.